This 167-nucleotide small RNA is filed under the name Arabidopsis thaliana (thale cress). RNAcentral describes it as "ATSL070430". The record is from RNAcentral. Lineage: Eukaryota; Viridiplantae; Streptophyta; Magnoliopsida; Brassicales; Brassicaceae.
UGUCUACAAUUCACAACUUUAAUUACAAAAGAACUAAUAACAAAAUCUCUCAUUUUUUCUUCUUUCAUGUGACCGCGUCCAUAGUCCAACUGGAAUUUACCCUGGAGCUAUACCUCCUUACUUAUAUCGAUCGUUCUUAUACCAUUAUUUCUGCGGAUAUAGAAAAA